Cricetulus griseus (Chinese hamster) is the source of this 103-nucleotide small nuclear RNA. The record is from Ensembl. NCBI's taxonomy places the organism in Eukaryota, Metazoa, Chordata, Mammalia, Rodentia, Cricetidae.
GUGCUUGCUUCUGCAACACAUAUACUAAAAUUGGAAUAAUACAGAGAUUAGCAUGGACCAUGUUCAAGCAUGCAUGCAAAUUUUUGAGCCUUCCAUAUUUUUU